AGGAGACCUUCAGAGAAGAGCUCAAUCUCAGUUAAGGUUAAAGGUGUGACUUGCCUUGUUGAGUCUCAAUUUAUAUCAAACCACGACUUUCUUGAGGAGGAGUUGAAGGCAUGGUGGCGGAGCGCAGGGAAAAGUGCCGAAAGAAGCGGCUGCGAGGGCAUCCCAUCGGCAGAGGAACUUAGUCGGAAAAUUCAGCAGAGAAAGAUGUUAAAUAGAUAAUACUUGUUUGAGGAGCAAAGGUUUUUGCUUAAUAGGUUUUACGUUUACACGUGUAUUUUUUAGUUUUGUUAAAAAAGAGAGUGUACAAUUUCUUGCUAAUGCAGAGGGCAUCGAAUGUCUCAAACCAGGCAACAAUCUAAAACUGGAUGUCCAAUCUAUUUAGAUUUGCGAGUUUUAUGUGUAUAGUCUAUGUGAAGGA
Arabidopsis lyrata subsp. lyrata is the source of this 418-nucleotide long non-coding RNA. RefSeq lists it as uncharacterized. The transcript is spliced from 2 exons. The record is from RefSeq and is a predicted model, not a curated record. Lineage: Eukaryota; Viridiplantae; Streptophyta; Magnoliopsida; Brassicales; Brassicaceae.